This 1213-nucleotide ribosomal RNA is filed under the name metagenome. RNAcentral's name for it is "bacterial LSU rRNA". It matches the Rfam family "Bacterial large subunit ribosomal RNA", at positions 1590 to 2813 of the family's 2925-position model. The record is from RNAcentral.
GUAGUGUAUGUCAGACUUCCAAGAAAAGCUUGCACUGUCAUAAAUAAGAAAUGCCUGUACCAUAACCGACACAGGUGGGUAGGUAGAGUAUACUAAGGGGCGCGAGAUAACUCUCUCUAAGGAACUCGGCAAAAUAACUCCGUAACUUCGGGAGAAGGAGUGCCUUAUUUAUAAGGUUGCAAUAACAAGAUCCAAGCAACUGUUUACCAAAAACACAGGUCUCCGCUAAGUCGUAAGACGAUGUAUGGGGGCUGACGCCUGCCCAGUGCCAGAAGGUUAAAGAAGUUGGUUAGCAUCCGCGAAGCUGAUAACUGAAGCCCUGGUGAACGGCGGCCGUAACAAUAACGGUCCUAAGGUAGCGAAAUUCCUUGUCGGGUAAGUUCCGACCCGCACGAAAGGCGUAAUGAUUUGGAUACUGUCUCGGAGAGGGGCUCGGUGAAAUAGACUUGUCUGUGAAGAUGCGGACUACCUGCACCUGGACAGAAAGACCCUAUGAAGCUUUACUGUAACUUGAAAUUGAAAUUGGACUUUAUUCGCGCAGUAUAGGUGGGAAGCGUUGAAAAUAUUCUUGCGGGAAUAUUGGAGCUAUCAGUGAGAUACCACUCUUAUAAUGUUAGGUUUCUAACUUUGUACCAUUAUCUGGUCAAAGAACAGUUUCAGGCGGGCAGUUUGACUGGGGCGGUCGCCUCCCAAAUGGUAACGGAGGCGUACAAAGGUUUCCUCUGAACGGGUAGAAAUCGUAUCUAGAGUGUAAAGGCAAAAGGAAGCUUGACUGUGAGACCUACAAGUCGAGCAGGGACGAAAGUCGGUCUUAGUGAUCUGACGGUACUGAGUGGAAAGGCCGUCACUCAACGGAUAAAAGUUACUCUAGGAUAACAGGCUGAUCUCCCCCAAGAGUUCACAUCGACGGGGAGGUUUGGCACCUCGAUGUCGGCUCAUCGCAUCCUGGGGCGGUAGUACGUCCCAAGGGUUGGGCUGUUCGCCCAUGAAAGCGGUACGCGAGCUGGGUUCAGAACGUCGUGAGACAGUUCGGCCCAUAUCCGGUGUAGGCGUUAGAAUAUUGAGAGGAGCCUUCUCUAGUACGAGAGGACCGAGAAGGACAUACCUCUGGUGUACCAGUUAUCGUGCCAACGGUAAACGCUGGGUAGCUAUGUAUGGAGUGGAUAACCGCUGAAAGCAUCUAAGUGGGAAGCCCACCUCAAGAUGAGUAUUC